RNAcentral lists this ribosomal RNA (822 nucleotides) under uncultured bacterium. RNAcentral describes it as "bacterial SSU rRNA". It matches the Rfam family "Bacterial small subunit ribosomal RNA", at positions 8 to 812 of the family's 1533-position model. The record is from RNAcentral.
AGAGUUUGAUCCUGGCUCAGGACGAACGCUGGCGGCGUGCCUAAUACAUGCAAGUAGAACGCUGAAGACUUUAGCUUGCUAAAGUUGGAAGAGUUGCGAACGGGUGAGUAACGCGUAGGUAACCUGCCUACUAGCGGGGGAUAACUAUUGGAAACGAUAGCUAAUACCGCAUAACAGCAUUUAACCCAUGUUAGAUGCUUGAAAGGAGCAAUUGCUUCACUAGUAGAUGGACCUGCGUUGUAUUAGCUAGUUGGUGAGGUAACGGCUCACCAAGGCGACGAUACAUAGCCGACCUGAGAGGGUGAUCGGCCACACUGGGACUGAGACACGGCCCAGACUCCUACGGGAGGCAGCAGUAGGGAAUCUUCGGCAAUGGGGGCAACCCUGACCGAGCAACGCCGCGUGAGUGAAGAAGGUUUUCGGAUCGUAAAGCUCUGUUGUAAGAGAAGAACGUGUGUGAGAGUGGAAAGUUCACACAGUGACGGUAACUUACCAGAAAGGGACGGCUAACUACGUGCCAGCAGCCGCGGUAAUACGUAGGUCCCGAGCGUUGUCCGGAUUUAUUGGGCGUAAAGCGAGCGCAGGCGGUUUAAUAAGUCUGAAGUUAAAGGCAGUGGCUUAACCAUUGUUCGCUUUGGAAACUGUUAGACUUGAGUGCAGAAGGGGAGAGUGGAAUUCCAUGUGUAGCGGUGAAAUGCGUAGAUAUAUGGAGGAACACCGGUGGCGAAAGCGGCUCUCUGGUCUGUAACUGACGCUGAGGCUCGAAAGCGUGGGGAGCAAACCAGGAUUAGAUACCCUGGUAGUCCACGCCGUAAACGAUGA